RNAcentral lists this long non-coding RNA (830 nucleotides) under Anas platyrhynchos platyrhynchos (common mallard). RNAcentral's name for it is "lncRNA (ENSAPLG00000021272.1)". The record is from RNAcentral. Lineage: Eukaryota; Metazoa; Chordata; Aves; Anseriformes; Anatidae.
UUUCAUUCCUUUCCUUACCAUCUAGCUGCAAAAUAUCCUGUGGGUUAAAGGAUGGCACAUGGAAUGCGGGGUUUCAAAAACAACAAAAAGGGCUGUCUUUAAUGCUGUGCUAUAAGACGUUUUUCACUAAGGGAUUUUAAAUUAGUUUUCAAGGGGGGUUAUAUUCUAGCAUUCCUUCAAUGAUUCUGACAGAGAUGCAUGGACAAGACAAAUAUCUCAAGACAAACAUAUUUUGUAAUUCUAAAGUUUUAGGGAAAAAGAAGGAAAUUUGGAAUUCAUUUAAUCACACUGGCAAUUUGGUCAAAAUUAUAUAUAUAUUUUUGUAUCAUUGUCAAACAUAAUGUUAUCUUUGUAUCCACUUACAAUAUAAGCCUUUCAAAAGAUAUGUAAUGUGGAAGUGCCACGUUGUUUUUAAGUCUUUGUGACUAUGUCAGCCUUGAGACUGGGUAGGCAUGCCACUUUCCACUGUGUGACCACUAUUCUUGACAGUGGAAUGAGUUAUCACCGAAUGUUAAUGCCUCUCAUGUUCUCUUCAUUAUACAUACUCAUUUUCAUGACAAAGAGUGUAAAAGGAACAGAAUAUGGUGCAAAAUUAAUAUCUUCUCCUGACAAUCUGGAAGCGGUAUUCCAUGAUCUUACACUGAAGGCACAGCUGAGGACUUUGACAACUGUUUUGGCUUGUAAAAACUUAUUGCGCAUAUCUGAGAGAAGAGAACCAUGACUAUUGGUGUUGACUUCUGAUGAAUUCACUUACAACACUCAAGGAUUUCAAGGGUACAGUUGUUCUUCAGAGUGAUAUAACACCGUUAUGGAGGGUAUGACACCUGCUG